This 110-nucleotide Y RNA is filed under the name Saimiri boliviensis boliviensis (Bolivian squirrel monkey). RNAcentral's name for it is "Y RNA (ENSSBOG00000015502.1)". It matches the Rfam family "Y RNA". From Rfam's summary of the family: Y RNAs are components of the Ro ribonucleoprotein particle (Ro RNP), in association with Ro60 and La proteins. The Y RNAs and Ro60 and La proteins are well conserved, but the function of the Ro RNP is not known. Lineage: Eukaryota; Metazoa; Chordata; Mammalia; Primates; Cebidae. The record is from Rfam by way of RNAcentral.
GGCUGGUCUGAAGGUAGUGAGUUAUCUCAACUGACAGUUCAGUCAGUUACAGACCCAACUCCUUGUUCUACUCUUUCCCCCUCCUCACUACUGCACUUAACUAGUCUUAA